GCGGAUGUAGCUCAGUUGGUUAGAGCGUUGGUUUGUGGUACCAAAUGUCGAGGGUUCAAAUCCCUUCAUUCGCCCCA
RNAcentral lists this transfer RNA (77 nucleotides) under Lactobacillales bacterium. Its description in RNAcentral is "tRNA-His". It matches the Rfam family "tRNA". From Rfam's summary of the family: Transfer RNA (tRNA) molecules are approximately 80 nucleotides in length. Their secondary structure includes four short double-helical elements and three loops (D, anti-codon, and T loops). Further hydrogen bonds mediate the characteristic L-shaped molecular structure. tRNAs have two regions of fundamental functional importance: the anti-codon, which is responsible for specific mRNA codon recognition, and the 3' end, to which the tRNAs corresponding amino acid is attached (by aminoacyl-tRNA synthetases). tRNAs cope with the degeneracy of the genetic code in two manners: having more than one tRNA (with a specific anti-codon) for a particular amino acid; and 'wobble' base-pairing, i.e. permitting non-standard base-pairing at the 3rd anti-codon position. Lineage: Bacteria; Bacillati; Bacillota; Bacilli; Lactobacillales. The record is from RNAcentral.